RNAcentral lists this long non-coding RNA (962 nucleotides) under Anas platyrhynchos platyrhynchos (common mallard). RNAcentral describes it as "lncRNA (ENSAPLG00000031068.1)". The record is from RNAcentral. Lineage: Eukaryota; Metazoa; Chordata; Aves; Anseriformes; Anatidae.
GGUGUUCAUAAGACUGUAGUCUUUUUUAUUGUAGGAAUGGUUUCAUUUUCCUUUGAUGAAGUAGAAUUACGUUCACGGUAUGAAACUGUGAGCUUUUCAGGUAAGAACUAAUGGCUCUUGUUUUGAGUACUGUAUUCAGCUCUGGAUCCCCCAGCACAAGAAGGACAGGGACAGCUAAGGGGUUGGAAUUAGAUGAUCUUUAAGGUCCCUUCUAAACCAAACCGUUCUAUGAUUCUAUGGUUCUAUGGUUCUAUGAUUUUAUGGUUCUAUAAUUCUAUGACGGUGGUAUUACCCUAAUGGCAACAUGCUCCUCAUUAACUUACUUGAUAUUUCAGCAGCAUACACUUUUUUUCUGGGGCCAAGGGAAGACCAAACGAACUCAGUUUGUCAACAUUAUUUUUGAAGAAUGACACUCAUCCUGAACACGUAAACCCAAUGACUCCGAAAUGUUCUCCAUAAAGACUGAGAUCCUUGUCAAAGAGAUGGAGAAACUACAUCACAGAACAAAGGUACUGACUUGCUAAUGGUCAUGCCACAAAUCAGGAUAGAAAAUAGAGGAGGUGGAGCACUGGGACCCAGAGGUAUUGAGCUGCCAAAGGUCACAGAGGUUGCAUUGAAGUUGAGAGCUGAACUUGUGCUCCUAUGUCCUGAUCAAGCAGAGCUCCAAGAUGGAGUUUAAAACUAUGCACAGAAGGACCUGCUGCAGAGACGAGCAGGGCCAAGCCAUGGAGACCUCACUACAACCUACAGUAGGAGAGUUUCACUUGCAGUGCUUGCAGGUGUGUUGGUUUGUGUUGGUUUGGUACAUGUAGACAGUUAUUACGACUUCUCCAUCUUGGGGGGAGCCUGCAGAUGCUGACUCUUCAACUGAACAACUUUCCAUCAUCCUUAAAAAGAACACUGGAAAAUGGAUUUCUCCAUGCCACAGAAUGGGCACCCCAAAUUAGCAACCACUUUUCAGC